RNAcentral lists this ribosomal RNA (322 nucleotides) under Bacteroides fragilis. RNAcentral describes it as "bacterial SSU rRNA". It matches the Rfam family "Bacterial small subunit ribosomal RNA", at positions 100 to 423 of the family's 1533-position model. The record is from RNAcentral. Lineage: Bacteria; Pseudomonadati; Bacteroidota; Bacteroidia; Bacteroidales; Bacteroidaceae.
CACGGGUGAGUAACACGUAUCCAACCUGCCCUUUACUCGGGGAUAGCCUUUCGAAAGAAAGAUUAAUACCCGAUGGCAUAAUGAUUCCGCAUGGUUUNAUUAUUAAAGGAUUCCGGUAAAGGAUGGGGAUGCGUUCCAUUAGGUUGUUGGUGAGGUAACGGCCCACCAAGCCUUCGAUGGAUAGGGGUUCUGAGAGGAAGGUCCCCCACAUUGGAACUGAGACACGGUCCAAACUCCUACGGGAGGCAGCAGUGAGGAAUAUUGGUCAAUGGGCGCGAGCCUGAACCAGCCAAGUAGCGUGANGGAUGACUGCCCUAUGGGU